This 308-nucleotide unclassified non-coding RNA is filed under the name plant metagenome. RNAcentral describes it as "partial contains 5.8S ribosomal RNA, internal transcribed spacer 2, and large subunit ribosomal RNA". The stretch from base 1 to 105 matches the Rfam family "5.8S ribosomal RNA", at positions 50 to 154 of the family's 154-position model. The record is from RNAcentral.
GAAAUGCGAUAAGUAGUGUGAAUUGCAGAAUUCAGUGAAUCAUCGAAUCUUUGAACGCACAUUGCGCCCUUUGGUAUUCCAAAGGGCAUGCCUGUUCGAGCGUCAUUUGUACCCUCAAGCUUUGCUUGGUGUUGGUCGUCUUGUCUCUAGCUUUGCUGGAGACUCGCCUUAAAGUAAUUGGCAGCCGGCCUACUGGUUUCGGAGCGCAGCACAAGUCGCACUCUCUAUCAGCAAAGGUCUAGCAUCCAUUAAGCCUUUUUUUCAACUUUUGACCUCGGAUCAGGUAGGGAUACCCGCUGAACUUAAGC